RNAcentral lists this ribosomal RNA (227 nucleotides) under uncultured bacterium. RNAcentral's name for it is "partial 16S ribosomal RNA". It matches the Rfam family "Bacterial small subunit ribosomal RNA", at positions 30 to 252 of the family's 1533-position model. The record is from RNAcentral.
AUUGAACGCUGGCGGCAGGCCUAACACAUGCAAGUCGAGCGGUAACACAGAGAGCUUGCUCUCGGGUGACGAGCGGCGGACGGGUGAGUAAUGUCUGGGAAACUGCCUGAUGGGGGGGGGAUAACUACUGGAAACGGUAGCUAAUACCGCAUAAUGUCGCAAGACCAAAGAGGGGGACCUUAGGGCCUCUUGCCAUCGGAUGUGCCCAGGUGGGAUUAGCUAGUAGG